CAGCCGCCACGGUAAUACGGAGGGAGCUAGCGUUGUUCGGAAUUACUGGGCGUAAAGCGCACGUAGGCGGUUAUUCAAGUCAGAGGUGAAAGACCGGGGCUCAACCCCGGAACUGCCUUUGAAACUAGAUGACUGGAAUCUUGGAGAGGUCAGUGGAAUUCCGAGUGUAGAGGUGAAAUUCGUAGAUAUUCGGAAGAACACCAGUGGCGAAGGCGACUGACUGGACAAGUAUUGACGCUGAGGUGCGAAAGCGUGGGGAGCAAACAGGAUUAGAUACCCGCGUAGUCCCUGUCUCUUAUAC
This 301-nucleotide ribosomal RNA is filed under the name uncultured bacterium. RNAcentral's name for it is "partial 16S ribosomal RNA". It matches the Rfam family "Bacterial small subunit ribosomal RNA", at positions 509 to 807 of the family's 1533-position model. The record is from RNAcentral.